GAUGAACGCUGGCGGCAUGCCUAAUACAUGCAAGUCGAACGGAGUGAAGCCUUCGGGUUUCAUUCAGUGGCGAACGGGUGAGUAAUACGCAGGGAACCUGGCCAUGGCAGGGGGAUACACUCUGGAAACGGAGCAUAAGACCCCAUAGGCAGUAAGGCGGCAUCGCCUUGCUGUUAAAGAAAGCUGAAAGGCUUUGGCGAUGGAUGGACCUGCGGUGCAUUAGCUUGUUGGUGAGGCAACGGCUUACCAAGGCGAUGAUGCAUAGCCGGCCUGAGAGGGCGGACGGCCACACUGGGACUGAGACACGGCCCAGACUCCUGCGGGAGGCAGCAGUAGGGAAUUUUCGUUCAAUGGGCGCAAGCCUGAAACGAAGCAAUGCCGCGUGAGUGAGGAAGGUCUUCGGACUGUAAAGCUCUGUUGCCGGGGAAAAAGGGGAAAUGCAGGAAAUGGCAUUUCAUGGAUGGUACCCGGGCCAGAAAGCCACGGCUAACUACGUGCCAGCAGCCGCGGUAAUACGUAGGUGGCGAGCGUUAUCCGGAAUGAUUGGGCGUAAAGGGUGCGCAGGCGGUCUGUUAAGUCUGAAGGCAAAGGGAUGAGCUCAACUCAUUUAUGAUUCAGAAACUGGCAGACUUGAGGACAGGAGAGGGCGGUGGAACUCCAUGUGUAGCGGUAAAAUGCGCAGAGAUAUGGAAGAACACCAGUGGCGAAGGCGGCCGAUUCCUGGCCUGUGACUGACGCUGAGGCACGAAAGCGUGGGGAGCGAAAUAGGAUUAGAUACCCCUAGUAGUCCACGCCGUAAACGAUGAGGACGCUAGGUGUUCGGGGAGUUGAAAUCUGCAGUGCCGAAGCCAACGCAGUGACUCCUGCCGCCUGGGGAGUAUGCACGCAAGAUGUGAAACUCAAAGGAAUUGACGGGGGCCCGCACAAGCGGUGGAGUAUGUGGUUUAAUUCGAAGCAACGCGAAGAACCUUACCAGGUUUUGACAUCGUGAUGAACGACAGGCGCAAAGCAUGCGACUCUUCGGAGGCGUAUCAUCCAGACAGGUGCUGCAUGGCCGUCGUCAGCUCGUGUCGUGAGAUGUUUCGGUUAAGUCCAGCAACGAGCGCAACCCCUGUUGCCAUGUUACUCACGCACGUGAAGGUGGGGACUCAUGUCGAGACUGCCGCAGAUCAAACUGGGAGGAAGGUGGGGACGACGUCAGGUCAGUCAUGGCCCUUAUGCCCAGGGCUGCACACGUACUACAAUGCCCAGUACAGAGGAGGGACCGAAGCCUGCGAGGCGGAGGAAAUCUCUGAAAACUGG
Molecule: ribosomal RNA, 1302 nt
Filed under: uncultured Allobaculum sp.
Lineage: Bacteria; Bacillati; Bacillota; Erysipelotrichia; Erysipelotrichales; Erysipelotrichaceae
Description: bacterial SSU rRNA
Rfam family: Bacterial small subunit ribosomal RNA
Source: RNAcentral